AGCUAAAAAGUUUUUUAAGAAAUGUGUAUUUGUGGAAUAUGAGGGUGUUUAGCUUUAAAUUUUGAUUGUGAAUUAAUUUAAGUUAAGUUGGUAUUAUUUAUUUUGAAUUUAUAUGGUGGACAAUAAAUUAUGAUCCUCUAAUUUUAGCAUUUGUAUAUGAAUUGUACCAGAAUAAUCGGAUAGGCUUUUUAAAUUUGUACUUUAAUUGUGAUGAGUAAUAUUUUUAAAAGAAGAAAUGGUGUUUUAUGGUGAAAUGUAAAAUAUGUUUGAAAUUAAAAAUUUUUAUUUAAAAUUAAAAUAAUAAAACCAGUUUAGUAUCUGGGUAUUUUUUGGUUAUUAUUGCAGAAGUAUAAUAAUGUUGAAACUGAAAAAAUAUUGGCAGACACUAAAAUUAUUUUUGGAGGUUGAGAAUAAACCGGUAAUCCUCGUUUUUAACUAUUUUUUUGGGGGCAUGUAUGAUUGUUAAUUAUGAUUUUAAUAAUUAUAAUAAAAAAAUUAUAUUUGUGUGAUUAAAUAAAUAUCUGCUGUAAAAGUUAGUUUUUGUUGACCUACAAUUUUUGGUAAAAGUGAAUUUAUUGAUAAAAGUUAAUAAUGAAAGUGUAAAAAACAGUAAUUCUUUUUUUAUGAAAAAAUGAAGAGUAUUUUAGUGUGGUACAAAUCAUCCAUCAAUUACUUAAAGAGUAGUAAGUUGUAGCAAAGUAGAUGUAGGGGAACCUGUAUCUAAUAAAAUAU
This 732-nucleotide non-coding RNA is filed under the name Hammerschmidtiella sp. ZengetLiu-2016. Lineage: Eukaryota; Metazoa; Nematoda; Chromadorea; Rhabditida; Thelastomatidae. The record is from RNAcentral.